UACGGAGGGUGCAAGCGUUAAUCGGAAUUACUGGGCGUAAAGCGCACGCAGGUGGCUGAGUCAGUCGAUUGUGAAAGCCCUGGGCUUAACCUGGGAAUUGCAGUCGAUACUACUCGGCUCGAGUAUGGGAGAGGGCAGUGGAAUUCCCGGUGUAGCGGUGAAAUGCGUAGAUAUCGGGAGGAACAUCAGUGGCGAAGGCGGCUGCCUGGCCCAAUACUGACACUCAGGUGCGACAGCGUGGGGAGAAAACAGG
This 253-nucleotide ribosomal RNA is filed under the name uncultured bacterium. RNAcentral's name for it is "partial 16S ribosomal RNA". It matches the Rfam family "Bacterial small subunit ribosomal RNA", at positions 524 to 776 of the family's 1533-position model. The record is from RNAcentral.